This 496-nucleotide ribosomal RNA is filed under the name uncultured bacterium. RNAcentral describes it as "partial 16S ribosomal RNA". It matches the Rfam family "Bacterial small subunit ribosomal RNA", at positions 28 to 506 of the family's 1533-position model. The record is from RNAcentral.
GAUGAACGCUGGCGGCGUGCCUAAUACAUGCAAGUCGAGCGAACGGACGAGAAGCUUGCUUCUCUGAUGUUAGCGGCGGACGGGUGAGUAACACGUGGAUAACCUACCUAUAAGACUGGGAUAACUUCGGGAAACCGGAGCUAAUACCGGAUAAUAUUUUGAACCGCAUGGUUCAAAAGUGAAAGACGGUCUUGCUGUCACUUAUAGAUGGAUCCGCGCUGCAUUAGCUAGUUGGUAAGGUAACGGCUUACCAAGGCAACGAUGCAUAGCCGACCUGAGGGGGUGAGCGGCCACGCUGGAAGUGAGACACGGGCCAGACUCCCACGGGGGGCAGGAGUAGGGAAUUUGCCGCAAUGGGCGAAAGCCGGACGGAGCAACGCCGGGUGGGUGAUGAAGGCCUUGGGAUCGUAAAACUUUGUUAUUGGGGAAGAACAUAUGUGUAAGUAACUGUGCAAAUUGUGCCGGUACCUAAUCAGAAAGCCCCGGUUAACUACGU